AUACGGAGGGUGCAAGCGUUGUUCGGAAUUACUGGGCGUAAAGCGCGCGUAGGUGGUCUGUUAUGUCAGAUGUGAAAGUCCACGGCUCAACCGUGGAAGUGCAUUUGAAACUGGCAGACUUGAGUACUGGAGGGGGUAGUGGAAUUCCCGGUGUAGAGGUGAAAUUCGUAGAUAUCGGGAGGAAUACCGGUGGCGAAGGCGACUACCUGGCCAGAUACUGACACUGAGGUGCGAAAGCGUGGGGAGCGAACAGGAUUAGAUACCCUGGUAGUCC
This 274-nucleotide ribosomal RNA is filed under the name uncultured bacterium. Its description in RNAcentral is "partial 16S ribosomal RNA". It matches the Rfam family "Bacterial small subunit ribosomal RNA", at positions 523 to 796 of the family's 1533-position model. The record is from RNAcentral.